GGGGUUUUAGCUCAGUGGUAGAGCGCUUGCCUAGCAAGCGCAAGGCCCUGGGUUCGGUUCCCAGCUCCG
Molecule: transfer RNA, 69 nt
Filed under: Rattus norvegicus (Norway rat)
Lineage: Eukaryota; Metazoa; Chordata; Mammalia; Rodentia; Muridae
Rfam family: tRNA
About the family: Transfer RNA (tRNA) molecules are approximately 80 nucleotides in length.
Source: Rfam by way of RNAcentral